GCCAGUGUAGCAUAGUGGUUUGAGUGUUGGACUACAAUUCUGGAGACCAGGGUUCGAUUCCCAUCUUGGCCA
RNAcentral lists this transfer RNA (72 nucleotides) under Phrynosoma platyrhinos (Desert horned lizard). RNAcentral describes it as "tRNA-OTHER". Lineage: Eukaryota; Metazoa; Chordata; Lepidosauria; Squamata; Phrynosomatidae. The record is from RNAcentral.